UGAAAUCCUAUAUGAAGAAAUUAAACAAGACUUUGAAGACUUCUGGACUAGACAUGACGCAGAUGGCUUCUACUUCAAAGUCAACAAUACCGUCUGCAUUCGGAUCAGAUAAUUCUGAUUCUGAUUCAGAAGACUCGCUUUCAGACGAGUGUUGAUAAACAAUUUUUUUUUCUUAUUAAAACUUCGAAUGUUUAACGAUUCUGUAAUUUAAUUUCUU
This 217-nucleotide long non-coding RNA is filed under the name Zostera marina. RNAcentral's name for it is "long non-coding RNA (ZMAR_LNC005167)". Lineage: Eukaryota; Viridiplantae; Streptophyta; Magnoliopsida; Alismatales; Zosteraceae. The record is from RNAcentral.